CCUACGGGCGGCAGCAGUGAGGAAUAUUGGUCAAUGGGCGCGAGCCUGAUCCAGCCACGUAGCGUGAAGGAUGACUGCCCUACGGGUUUUAAACUUCUUUUGUAAAGGAGUAAAGUGAGUCACGUGUGCCUUUUUGUAUGUACUUUCUGCAUAAGUAUCGGCUAACUCCGUGCCAGCAGCCGCGGUAAUAAGGAGGAUCCGAGCGUUAUCCGGAUUUAUUGGGUUUAAAGGGAGCGUAGAUGGGUUGUUAAGUCAGUUGUGAAAGUUUGCGGCUCAACCGUAAAAUUGCAAGUGAUACUGGCAGUCUUGAGUACAGUUGAGGUAGGCGGAAUUCGUGGUGUAGCGGUGAAAUGCUUAGAUAGCACGAAGAACUCCGAUUGCGAAGGCAGCUUACUAAACUGCCACUGACAUUGAUGCUCGAAAGUGUGGGUAUCAAACAGGAUUAGAUACCCUUGUAGUC
RNAcentral lists this ribosomal RNA (460 nucleotides) under uncultured bacterium. Its description in RNAcentral is "partial 16S ribosomal RNA". It matches the Rfam family "Bacterial small subunit ribosomal RNA", at positions 338 to 795 of the family's 1533-position model. The record is from RNAcentral.